UAUGUUUACUAAAACAAAGAU
Molecule: small nuclear RNA, 21 nt
Filed under: Arabidopsis thaliana (thale cress)
Lineage: Eukaryota; Viridiplantae; Streptophyta; Magnoliopsida; Brassicales; Brassicaceae
Description: snRNA_05876
Source: RNAcentral